Molecule: ribosomal RNA, 447 nt
Filed under: uncultured bacterium
Lineage: Bacteria
Description: bacterial SSU rRNA
Rfam family: Bacterial small subunit ribosomal RNA
Source: RNAcentral
AGAGUUUGAUCCUGGCUCAGAUUGAACGCUAGCGGGAUGCCUUACACAUGGAAGUCGAACGGCAGCGCGGGCUUCGGCCUGGCGGCGAGUGGCGAACGGGUGAGUAAUGCAUCGGAACGUACCCAGUAGUGGGGGAUAACCACGCGAAAGCGUGGCUAAUACCGCAUACGCCCUUAGGGGGAAAGGGGGGGGAUCCUUCGGGACCUCUCGCUAUUGGAGCGGCCGAUGUCGGAUUAGCUAGUUGGUGGGGUAAAGGCCUACCAAGGCGACGAUCCGUAGCUGGUUUGAGAGGACGACCAGCCACACUGGGACUGAGACACGGCCCAGACUCCUACGGGAGGCAGCAGUGGGGAAUUUUGGACAAUGGGGGAAACCCUGAUCCAGCCAUCCCGCGUGUGCGAUGAAGGCCUUCGGGUUGUAAAGCACUUUUGGCAGGAAAGAAAUAGG